GGCGCACGGUGGAUGCCUUGGCACUAGAAGCCGAUGAAGGACGUUACUAACGACGAUAUGCUUUGGGGAGCUGUAAGUAAGCUUUGAUCCAGAGAUUUCCGAAUGGGGAAACCCAGCAUGAGUUAUGUCAUGUUAUCGAUAUGUGAAUACAUAGCAUAUCAGAAGGCACACCCGGAGAACUGAAACAUCUUAGUACCCGGAGGAAGAGAAAGAAAAUUCGAUUCCCUUAGUAGCGGCGAGCGAAACGGGAAGAGCCCAAACCAACAAGCUUGCUUGUUGGGGUUGUAGGACACUCUAUACGGAGUUACAAAGGACGACAUUAGACGAAUCAUCUGGAAAGAUGAAUCAAAGAAGGUAAUAAUCCUGUAGUCGAAAAUGUUGUCUCUCUUGAGUGGAUCCUGAGUACGACGGAGCACGUGAAAUUCCGUCGGAAUCUGGGAGGACCAUCUCCUAAGGCUAAAUACUCUCUAGUGACCGAUAGUGAACCAGUACCGUGAGGGAAAGGUGAAAAGCACCCCGGAAGGGG
This 526-nucleotide ribosomal RNA is filed under the name Staphylococcus aureus. RNAcentral describes it as "partial 23S ribosomal RNA". It matches the Rfam family "Bacterial large subunit ribosomal RNA", at positions 16 to 536 of the family's 2925-position model. Lineage: Bacteria; Bacillati; Bacillota; Bacilli; Caryophanales; Staphylococcaceae. The record is from RNAcentral.